UUGGCAACUAUACAACCUGAUAAAUGCUGAUAUGUAGUUUCAGGUGGCACACAGACUUAUUAGUUACUUAAUUGUAUUUAGUUAUGUCAUUAUUUCUAGCUUUCUUCAAGACAGGCUGCAUGCCUGUCUCAAUAUGGCUGUUGAGCUGUGUUCUUCAGUGUGUUGUCCUUUUCAUGGUAUUGGUGUGAGAGAGAAAGGGAGGAGUAAAGCAAGCAAAUUUAUACAUUCUCUGUCCAGGCCCUUACACCAAUAGGGCGUUGAGGUACAGAAUGGACUCUAAUUUAAAACAAAUCCCAAACAGCCAUGCUCCAGAACAAUGGGGGCACACAGUACCUUUCACAUUUGCCCCUAAAACUAUUUGUUGAACUGAUGCUUGCCAUCUAGGUAGUUUGGCCUCCUUGUGGGGGUUAAUACUUGCUUUGUUUAUGGCUUUUAGACUCUCAGUCCAAACACAAUUGUUCUUACCAAAGCUGGUCCAAUGUUCCAUCCUAACAAACUGCAUUUUCACACCCGCACCCAAGACCAUUUCAUAAGUUGAACCUGUCCAACUAGGUGGACUUCCUCUCCUACAGAGAAUUACUUGCCAAACCCGUCUGAGGCACUUCCUCCAACUCAGCCAUAAAUUCUUAAGUCAGUCCUAAAGGCUGAAUAAAAUACUAAUAUUACAUUUGCUUUGUCUGACUUACAAAUAAAGACAUAAAAAGUAUUUAUUGACUUAAAUAUUAAAUUUCACACCAUAAAAAAUUGGUAAACACCCAAAGGCCAAAAUCCGAAAGAAACACAGAGGCAAGAAUACUAACUCCAAAUCUCUACCCAACAAUCAUUGUCAAAAUAAUAGGUACAUGUUAUGGCUUCUAAGAUUUUUAAAUCACUAACUACAAACUUCUCAAGAGUUUGUUUUCUUAUCCAAAAACCUGGACAAAGGGGAUAGUAUGCUGGCAUUUUAAAUAGUCCAGUUUUUGUGAUGUUAUGAAUGUCAUCUUUAUUUAACUUAUAUUCUGGCCUUUCAUAAGUUUUAUUCACAUGUUUUCUUUUAGAAAUUGUACUUAUCUCUAUGAAGAGGACUGAGGUUCUGUGAUUAUUCUCUGUCUUUUAGGAUAGAAUUUUUUUUUCCAUUAUUUAUAUUUUCAUUAUUUACUAUCUUUUAGUAAAGAAUUAUGUUCUUCUGUUAUUCAUCUUAUACCACAUCUCUAUUUUGUUUUAAAUCCACACAGUGAUUUUUAUGAAUAUGUUGUUAAGAUGUUAGUCUGGUUGCUGGGGUUGUGUUUUUGUAUGAUGUCAUUAGAGUGACAUAUCAUAUACCAGCACAACAUGUAUUUUGUUAUCCAUGUUUGAGAAAAAAACAUUUUCAGCGUGUCAUGCUAUUAUUUUUUUGAUUUUCUGGUUUUGAUUAACUUGUGUGCCCUUUUUUAAUUUUUUACUUUUGUUUGCUGUUUGCUUAACAGUUUUUGGCUUUGUUAUUUUUGAUCUCUCCAUUAUCUCGCCCAGUAUCGAUGCUCACUUUUAUCUUCAGUGUGGUUUCAGGGAGAUUAAAGGCUUGCAGUGUUAAAAAACAAGCUAAAAUUUAGCAUGUCACAAAUCACAGGGGCCUCAUUUGGCUUUUAAUAUUUUAAUAAUUGGUGUUUUUCAUUUUAAAUACCUUGCUGUUUUUAGCAAGGUGCCUCCAAACUUUAUAUAGCUUAGGGCCUCACCAAUUCUAAAUCUGUCACUGGAGACAUGGGGCUUAAACAGACCCCUUUCAAGACUCAGAACUCAUUUGAUGUGAGGUACAUUUGCUGAAAGAUAGUUCAGUGCUUGUCAAAAUGUUAACCAUAUAAACCAUGUAACUGAUGUGUGAUGUCAUCAAAUUCAAUAAGAUGUAUUGCGUACAGUGUAUUACUAAUUAAAUGAAAUUGUUUUUGCUUCAAUAUCUAAUAUUAUCAGCAGUGUUUACAAUUACCUGGAUUUAUUGCAGUGAUUUGUAGUUCAAAAUUAAAAUAAUGUUUUAAACUUGACUUAUAUUUGUGAUUGUUGUGAAGCUAUAAUCAUCUAGUGUAUACUGAACAGACUGAAUAAUGUCAUUAUUUCUAGGACAACUUUCAACACAAAAACAGGAGUCAGACUUUGUCCUUAGUACAACAAAAUUGAUGAAGAACGCAAGAAAUGAUAACUUAAAUAGUCAGGAUUGCAGGAUGCUGAAGCCUAUCACAGCAGCACUGAGUGCAAAGCAGGAAAUAUCCCAGGGCACCAGCCCAACGUGUGUCCUGUGAUAAGUACAGUAUAGUUGGUUUUUAAUUUUUAAACUUAAGUUUAUUUCAUAGGAAUGUUGCUGUCUGCAUUCAACCAAAGAAUGAAACUUCGCGGUUUGAUUUAGAAAUUUGCUGCAUGUGCAUUUUCACUAAUCAAAUUAAGAUUGCAGGAGCUGAAAAUCUAGUGUUAAAUUACUGCCAAAAGAUUAUGUACAAGUUCAAUGCAUUUGAUUACUUUUCAUUUAAAUACAGUAUAUUUUUGUAUUAAUGUAUUUCAUUACAGCAAUACAUUUUGUAGUCACAUAACUUUUGGCAGUGUUGGUGCAUGGUGGUGCUGCCAAAAGUUCUUGACUCAUCGUAACAAAUUCUGCAAGCAUACAUAUAACAUUUGGAGUGCACAUAAUAUAUGUAGCAAAGUUUUCAGGUCGUAUGAAGUUUGGGAUGAAUUGGAUGUUUUCUAUAAAUAGAAUUCAUAAAAGAUAAAGAUUAAACUCCUGUUUUCCUAACCCAUCUUCCAGUUACAUAAGCACAGUCCCAGUCACUAACACAUUUAACUUUUCCCUGCCUAUUACCAAUCAUGUUGCACAAAGCAAGCUCCUGUUGUAACCUGUUACCAACAAUAUCCGUUGUAACUUUCACACAAAAAAUAUCUUCUUUGCUGUCAUACAUAUAAAACAACACACACACAUUUUCUUUACACUACCAGACUAUACCAUUUUCUAAGCUCACUGAGGGUC
This is a long non-coding RNA of Polypterus senegalus (gray bichir), 2965 nucleotides long. RefSeq lists it as uncharacterized. The record is from RefSeq and is a predicted model, not a curated record. Lineage: Eukaryota; Metazoa; Chordata; Cladistia; Polypteriformes; Polypteridae. The transcript is spliced from 4 exons.